Molecule: long non-coding RNA, 273 nt
Organism: Stylophora pistillata
Lineage: Eukaryota; Metazoa; Cnidaria; Anthozoa; Scleractinia; Pocilloporidae
Source: RefSeq, a predicted model, not a curated record
CAUUGCUGGACCUGUGGCUGUUGUCAUUUUCCUGCUGCUGGCUCUGUACGCAUACAUUAAGAAACGUCAUGUGACAGCUUUGCAUGAGGUGCCAGCCAGGCUGAAUGCAGAACAAGAUGAAGUUGAGAUGGAUCAGCUUAUCGCAAACACAGAUGGAUGGGAGAUUGCAGUUGACCGCCUGAACUUUCGUGAGCCUAUUGGCAGAGGAGCAUUUGGUUCCGUGUGGCGAGCGCUGCUAGGUCGGUCCCGUGGCAGACCUGGAAAUCUUACAGU